UAAAUGCACUUGGGUCCCAGAUC
RNAcentral lists this non-coding RNA (23 nucleotides) under Rattus norvegicus (Norway rat). The record is from RNAcentral. Lineage: Eukaryota; Metazoa; Chordata; Mammalia; Rodentia; Muridae.